RNAcentral lists this ribosomal RNA (264 nucleotides) under uncultured bacterium. RNAcentral's name for it is "partial 16S ribosomal RNA". It matches the Rfam family "Bacterial small subunit ribosomal RNA", at positions 89 to 354 of the family's 1533-position model. The record is from RNAcentral.
UGGCGACCGGCGCACGGGUGAGUAACACAUAUCCAACCUGCCGAUGACUCGGGGAUAGCCUUUCGAAAGAAAGAUUAAUACCCGAUGGCAUAGUUCUUCCGCAUGGUAGAACUAUUAAAGAAUUUCGGUCAUCGAUGGGGAUGCGUUCCAUUAGCUUGUUGGCGGGGUAACGGCCCACCAAGGCAUCGAUGGAUAGGGGUUCUGAGAGGAAGGUCCCCCACAUUGGAACUGAGACACGGUCCAAACUCCUACGGAAGGCAGCAG